GCGAGCGGCGGAUGGGUGAGUAACACGUGGGGAACCUGCCCCUAAGUCUGGGAUACCAUUUGGAAACAGGUGCUAAUACCGGAUAAUAAAGCAGAUCGCAUGAUCAGCUUUUGAAAGGCGGCGUAAGCUGUCGCUAAGGGAUGGCCCCGCGGUGCAUUAGCUAGUUGGUAAGGUAACGGCUUACCAAGGCGACGAUGCAUAGCCGAGUUGAGAGACUGAUCGGCCACAUUGGGACUGAGACACGGCCCAAACUCCUACGGGAGGCAGCAGUAGGGAAUCUUCCACAAUGGACGCAAGUCUGAUGGAGCAACGCCGCGUGAGUGAAGAAGGUUUUCGGAUCGUAAAGCUCUGUUGUUGGUGAAGAAGGAUAGAGGUAGUAACUGGCCUUUAUUUGACGGUAAUCAACCAGAAAGUCACGGCUAACUACGUGCCAGCAGCCGCGGUAAUACGUAGGUGGCAAGCGUUGUCCGGAUUUAUUGGGCGUAAAGCGAGCGCAGGCGGAAAAAUAAGUCUAAUGUGAAAGCCCUCGGCUUAACCGAGGAACUGCAUCGGAAACUGUUUUUCUUGAGUGCAGAAGAGGAGAGUGGAACUCCAUGUGUAGCGGUGGAAUGCGUAGAUAUAUGGAAGAACACCAGUGGCGAAGGCGGCUCUCUGGUCUGCAACUGACGCUGAGGCUCGAAAGCAUGGGUAGCGAACAGGAUUAGAUACCCUGGUAGUCCAUGCCGUAAACGAUGAGUGCUAAGUGUUGGGAAGGUUUCCGCCUCUCAGUGCUGCAGC
Molecule: ribosomal RNA, 777 nt
Filed under: uncultured bacterium
Lineage: Bacteria
Description: bacterial SSU rRNA
Rfam family: Bacterial small subunit ribosomal RNA
Source: RNAcentral